GGGGGCGAAAAGGGUUCGACGGGGAUCUAUGAAGUAAGCGUUGCAUGCCGAGUGUUCCGUCCCUCGUAAAACGGAUGGAGCUAAAAGUCAAGUGCAGAUUCUUACGAAUAUGCCAUGGCUGCCUAAGAAAUAACGGUAGCCCGUUCAUCCGGCCUUGCCUGCGGGGUCUGAUGGGCGUAAGUCAGCAGGAUAAGCCACGGCGGCGUGCCCGGGUC
This 215-nucleotide transfer-messenger RNA is filed under the name Deltaproteobacteria bacterium. RNAcentral describes it as "partial transfer-messenger RNA". It matches the Rfam family "transfer-messenger RNA", at positions 1 to 222 of the family's 374-position model. Rfam says of the family: Bacterial tmRNA, also known as 10Sa RNA or SsrA, is named for its dual tRNA and mRNA-like properties. Its role is to liberate the mRNA from a stalled ribosome. The record is from RNAcentral. Lineage: Bacteria; Pseudomonadati; Myxococcota; Myxococcia.